GCCCUCGGUGGUGGGGGAGUAGCCGGGCUAACGCCCGGGUAAUACCGCAUACGUUCCUCUGGGGGAGUCCCCUGGGGGGAGGAAAGCUCCGGCGCACGGGGAGGGGUUCGCGGCCUAUCAGCUAGUUGGCGGGGUAAUGGCCCACCAAGGCGACGACGGGUAGCUGGUCUGAGAGGAUGGCCAGCCACAUUGGGACUGAGAGACGGCCCAG
Molecule: ribosomal RNA, 211 nt
Filed under: uncultured bacterium
Lineage: Bacteria
Description: partial 16S ribosomal RNA
Rfam family: Bacterial small subunit ribosomal RNA
Source: RNAcentral